UACACAUGCAAGUCGAACGGAGUAGCAAUACUUAGUGGCGGACGGGUGAGUAACGCGUAAGAAUCUAGCUCCAGGCUCGGGACAACAGAGGGAAACUUCUGCUAAUACCGGAUGUGCCCAACGGUGAAAGAUUUAUCACCUGGGNGAUGAGCUUGCGUCUGAUUAGCUAGAUGGUGGGGNUAAAGCCUACCAUGGCGACAAUCAGUAACUGGUCUGAGAGGAUGACCAGUCACACUGGGACUGAGACACGGCCCAGACUCCUACGGGAGGCAGCAGUGGGGAAUUUUCCGCAAUGGGCGAAAGCCUGACGGGAGCAAUACCGCGUGAGGGAAAGAAGGGCUCUUGGGUUGUAAACCUCUUUUCUCAGGGAAUUAAAAAAUGACGGUUACUGAGGAAUAAGCAUCGGGUAACUCCGUGCCAGCAGCCGCGGUAAUACGGAGGAUGCAAGCGUUAUCCGGAAUGAUUGGGCGUAAAGCGUCCGCGGGU
Molecule: ribosomal RNA, 486 nt
Filed under: uncultured cyanobacterium
Lineage: Bacteria; Bacillati; Cyanobacteriota
Description: bacterial SSU rRNA
Rfam family: Bacterial small subunit ribosomal RNA
Source: RNAcentral